CCUACGGGCGGCAGCAGUGAGGAAUAUUGGUCAAUGGACGAGAGUCUGAACCAGCCAAGUAGCGUGAAGGAUGACUGCCCUAUGGGUUGUAAACUUCUUUUGUAUGGGAAUAAAAUGUUCCACGUGUGGGAUUUUGUAUGUACCAUAUGAAUAAGGAUCGGCUAACUCCGUGCCAGCAGCCGCGGUAAUACGGAGGAUCCGAGCGUUAUCCGGAUUUAUUGGGUUUAAAGGGCGCGUAGGUGGAGUGUUAAGUCAGUUGUGAAAGGUUGCGGAUCAACCGUAAAAUUGCAGUUGAAACUGGCAGUCUUGAGUACAGUAGAGGUGGGCGGAAUUCGUGGUGUAGCGGUGAAAUGCUUAGAUAUCACGAAGAACUCCGAUUGCGAAGGCAGCUCACUGGACUGCAACUGACACUGAGGCUCGAAAGUGUGGGUAUCAAACAGGAUUAGAUACCCCUGUAGUC
RNAcentral lists this ribosomal RNA (460 nucleotides) under uncultured bacterium. Its description in RNAcentral is "partial 16S ribosomal RNA". It matches the Rfam family "Bacterial small subunit ribosomal RNA", at positions 338 to 795 of the family's 1533-position model. The record is from RNAcentral.